CUCCAGGUUUUUAUUAUCUUUCCGAUGCAUUGAAAUCUUAAUGAGGUGCAAUUAACUUUAAUAAUUUAAAGUCAACAUGUCACAGGUGAAUAAUCAGUGUGAAUAGUUUCGAUAAGUUUUCGACAAUAUCCAUUGAGUAACCUACGAUAAGAUACUUGUAUCUACGUUGGCCAUUCUUUUUUUAUGAAACGAGCAACACCAACUCUUUCAAUUUGUCUUUUAUUUUGGAAAGGGGAAUACUUGUUUAAGGUGUAGUAAAGUCAAAUGUUCUUAAUACUGUUGCAUGAUGAAAGAGUUUUAUGUUGUUUGUUCUGUUGUACAGCAUUUCUUUUCAUCUUGGACAGUCUAUAUUUCUGUCAGAAAAACAUUGUCCAUGUAUGUUUGAUCAUGUUAUGAUAGGGCCUUUAAUGUCUUAUUUUAGGAAUUUUUCAAAGAAUAUGUGAUAAUUAUUUUUUCAAGAUAUACAGAUAUUUUUUUUCAAUUUUCAAUUUGAAUUCUGCUUUUUCAAAUAGAAAAGAGGGGGUGUAACUAUAUUAAGUUUUAGAUACAAGCUGUCGAAAGAAGCUAAAUGAUAUGCCAAAUGAUAUAUAGGGAAAAUGGUACGUACACCGC
This 612-nucleotide long non-coding RNA is filed under the name Mytilus galloprovincialis (Mediterranean mussel). The record is from RNAcentral. Lineage: Eukaryota; Metazoa; Mollusca; Bivalvia; Mytilida; Mytilidae.